This 1737-nucleotide ribosomal RNA is filed under the name Salmonella enterica subsp. enterica serovar Typhimurium. RNAcentral describes it as "bacterial LSU rRNA". It matches the Rfam family "Bacterial large subunit ribosomal RNA", at positions 1223 to 2925 of the family's 2925-position model. The record is from RNAcentral. Lineage: Bacteria; Pseudomonadati; Pseudomonadota; Gammaproteobacteria; Enterobacterales; Enterobacteriaceae.
GUUGGGUAGGGGAGCGUUCUGUAAGCCUGUGAAGGUGUGUCGUGAGGCAUGCUGGAGGUAUCAGAAGUGCGAAUGCUGACAUAAGUAACGAUAAAGCGGGUGAAAAGCCCGCUCGCCGGAAGACCAAGGGUUCCUGUCCAACGUUAAUCGGGGCAGGGUGAGUCGACCCCUAAGGCGAGGCCGAAAGGCGUAGUCGAUGGGAAACGGGUUAAUAUUCCCGUACUUGGUGUUACUGCGAAGGGGGGACGGAGAAGGCUAUGUUGGCCGGGCGACGGUUGUCCCGGUUUAAGCGUGUAGGUGUGUGUUCCAGGUAAAUCCGGUUCACUUUAACACUGAGGCGUGACGACGAGGCACUACGGUGCUGAAGCAACAAAUGCCCUGCUUCCAGGAAAAGCCUCUAAGCAUCAGGUAACAUCAAAUCGUACCCCAAACCGACACAGGUGGUCAGGUAGAGAAUACCAAGGCGCUUGAGAGAACUCGGGUGAAGGAACUAGGCAAAAUGGUGCCGUAACUUCGGGAGAAGGCACGCUGACACGUAGGUGAAGUGAUUUACUCAUGGAGCUGAAGUCAGUCGAAGAUACCAGCUGGCUGCAACUGUUUAUUAAAAACACAGCACUGUGCAAACACGAAAGUGGACGUAUACGGUGUGACGCCUGCCCGGUGCCGGAAGGUUAAUUGAUGGGGUCAGCGCAAGCGAAGCUCCUGAUCGAAGCCCCGGUAAACGGCGGCCGUAACUAUAACGGUCCUAAGGUAGCGAAAUUCCUUGUCGGGUAAGUUCCGACCUGCACGAAUGGCGUAAUGAUGGCCAGGCUGUCUCCACCCGAGACUCAGUGAAAUUGAACUCGCUGUGAAGAUGCAGUGUACCCGCGGCAAGACGGAAAGACCCCGUGAACCUUUACUAUAGCUUGACACUGAACAUUGAGCCUUGAUGUGUAGGAUAGGUGGGAGGCUUUGAAGUGUGGACGCCAGUCUGCAUGGAGCCGACCUUGAAAUACCACCCUUUAAUGUUUGAUGUUCUAACGUGGACCCGUAAUCCGGGUUGCGGACAGUGUCUGGUGGGUAGUUUGACUGGGGCGGUCUCCUCCUAAAGAGUAACGGAGGAGCACGAAGGUUGGCUAAUCCUGGUCGGACAUCAGGAGGUUAGUGCAAUGGCAUAAGCCAGCUUGACUGCGAGCGUGACGGCGCGAGCAGGUGCGAAAGCAGGUCAUAGUGAUCCGGUGGUUCUGAAUGGAAGGGCCAUCGCUCAACGGAUAAAAGGUACUCCGGGGAUAACAGGCUGAUACCGCCCAAGAGUUCAUAUCGACGGCGGUGUUUGGCACCUCGAUGUCGGCUCAUCACAUCCUGGGGCUGAAGUAGGUCCCAAGGGUAUGGCUGUUCGCCAUUUAAAGUGGUACGCGAGCUGGGUUUAGAACGUCGUGAGACAGUUCGGUCCCUAUCUGCCGUGGGCGCUGGAGAACUGAGGGGGGCUGCUCCUAGUACGAGAGGACCGGAGUGGACGCAUCACUGGUGUUCGGGUUGUCAUGCCAAUGGCACUGCCCGGUAGCUAAAUGCGGAAGAGAUAAGUGCUGAAAGCAUCUAAGCACGAAACUUGCCCCGAGAUGAGUUCUCCCUGAGACUUUAGGUCUCCUGAAGGAACGUUGAAGACGACGACGUUGAUAGGCCGGGUGUGUAAGCGCAGCGAUGCGUUGAGCUAACCGGUACUAAUGAACCGUGAGGCUUAACCUUACAACGCCGAAG